UCAUAUCAAAAUUUGAGUUUUGGGUACGUCAGCUGAUGCUUUCUUACUUUUUCGAUUAUUGUUGUACAUUAGAUUACUCUAUGAUUUUGGUAAAACUGUGACUGCACUCUUUUUACAGGGUGAACGAACUUGUUGUUCUUAUGUUUCAAGUUUUCUAAAGCUUAGCUCUCUCCUAUAGCUGGCCCUAAGUAUUUUUGCUAUCGUGGAGUAGUCGAUUAAUAAAUAUAGUAAUAAAAUUUUAUGUUUUCGAAGUCGAAACUGAACUUCUCAGCUGGUUCGAGCCCACGGGUCUUCUUUUGUUCCUACUGGCACCAUGGUAACUAUGGUAACUGUGUGAAGUAUAGGAAGUUGAUUUUUUGGUAUGUGUGUCUUAUUUCCGUAAUUGCUUUGAUUUUAGCCACCAAGAUUAAGCAUCUAACUUGAAUGAUAUUCAUUCUGUUUUGCAGAUUUAGAAAUAUGUAGGUGGGAUAAAAAUUUAUGUAAUUGUCUAGACUGGUCUGUUGAUAUUUUCUUGCUUUAUCCCAAGUUUUAAUGUGUGUGAUUCUAAUAUUGUUCUUGAGCGUGUUCAGUUUCCUCGAAUUUUGUAAGUGUAACUUAAAAGUUGUAGCGAUUUCAUAGAAAAUCUAGCUAUACAAAUUAUCAAAUUUUUGAUAAUAUAUAAACGCCAACGAAAAAAAAUAGGUGGGCAGAGUUAUAUAAAUUGAUGGCACCCAAAAAAGGAAGGUUUUCUUAGUUCGACAACUAGGAAACAAAGAUGAACUAAAAAGGCGUCGUCAAGCUGACAGUAUAAUUUUGUCACCUUCUGAAGCGACUGACCUCUUUCUGUGGCAAUCCUAAGAUUGAAAAGUGAGAGAAUGAACUUCAUCUGUCCUAAAUCCUCAUCACUAACCAUUUCCCUCAUCUUUGCAUUUCUUGAUCGGUCGCUUAAGCACAUAUCCAUCUUGUUCGUCCUCAUAUCUCUCUCUAUAAAUGCCUUUGCUAUAUUUUUCUUUUUCAUGGAUCGAUUGACUUAUUUUCAACAUAGUAAGAUUGAUUAUCUUUUUAAAUAUCUUGAAACUAAAUCAUAAGAUUUGUUAAAUUUGCGAUGAUUGUAUGGUUCCUAAUUUGUAUUGACCAGUGUUCUAAAUUCUGUCUACAUGUUUAUCUGAAAAAAUACGACGUCGCAAGGCUUUGAUUUUAGUUGCCAUAUUAUCAAGUUCCUUCUAAGUUUUGUGUAUCGGUCAAAUUUGUAUAGAAGACGAAAUCGAGAAAAUUUAAAUUUUUUUCUAUCUUAGGUCCAGCAGAGAUUGUAUUGUCUUUAGGUGUUCUGUUUAUCCGUCAUGAAAGUUGAAAGUGACUCUUACUGCUCUUGUAGUUAGUUGUAUGAAAAUAUUGCUUUGCACACAGGGAUUUGUGGAGAAGCAAAUGAUGUACAUAGUAUGAGCUUUCUUAAUUGAACAACAGCUACAAGCGACUAUCGCAACUCUGUUCAUGUUCACAUGCAGAGACUUUCUUGGAUAUGUUGUGCAGAUGUCAACAUAAGAAAUUUCUUGGGCCAGGGGUCGAUUUUCCAGUUGGAAAUGUGUCGGGUUCUUGUUCUUAGCGUAGUGCCCAGCUUGCUUAGCAACCAAAGCUAGCUUACUAAGGCACAAGACGAGAAUACCAAUCAAGCGAUUACUGAAAAAUACUUCUACAAAAGUUAAGCAAGCCAGCUAAACAGACCAUCAAAUUGAAGUCAGUGCUACCAAGAAAAUUACAGAUGCUAAAUUUGCUAAAAAAUUUCAAGUUGUAUUGAAGGAGCUUCAAAAAGCUCAGAGGCUUGCGGCUGAAAAAGAUACAUCACAUUCACCUUUCAUUCCACAAGUAGUUCUUCCUUCUAGAUACUACUGUUAUUAAGUUAACUGGUAAUUGCAUUGGCUACGCUGAUGGUUCUCUGGAUAAGGCUAAGUUCAACAAACCUAGAAGCUUUGCUAUUGAUUGAAAAGGGAAUAUUUAUGUUGUUGAUAUGAAGAAAAUGUGUGCAAUUAGAAAGAUUAGCAAGCCAGGUAUCUAGAUAUAGUUGUGAUAUUUUCUUAUUUUGCUAUUUUGUCUGGUCUUACUGGUUGUGUUUGAGCUGAUAUAAGUGUUUUCUAUUAAAAAUAUUAUACUGAAAAUUCAUAUCAGGGUUUUGAUUGGGGUGUAAAGUUGAAAGACUAUAAUAGUUUGAAAGUUGGAGUCAAGACUUGGUGUUUAGUGAUGCUUGUAAGUUAUAAGCAUGCAAACUGUGAAAAUAACUUUGAUAUGUUUAGAGGAGCAAGUAAAGAAUGGCAUGCAAGGGAAAAUGUAGAAAAGCACCCACUGGACACUUCCCGUUCUUGUAACUGGAAAAUAGUCUCCGUCAUGGAGUUCCAGGAUGAAGAAUUUGAAAAAAAAGAUUGUAUUACAUAAAGAUUAUAGAGUGAUUAUUCGCAACAAGAAGAAAACAUUUAUAUUAUGAAAUAAG
Molecule: long non-coding RNA, 2461 nt
Organism: Solanum pennellii
Lineage: Eukaryota; Viridiplantae; Streptophyta; Magnoliopsida; Solanales; Solanaceae
Exons: 5
Source: RefSeq, a predicted model, not a curated record